AUCCCCCUUCCGUAAUUUCCAGUUCCACCCUUUAAUAUUUAAUUUGUUGCAGUUAAAAAGUUCGAAGUUGGAUUUUGGGACGGGCCGGUCGGUCCGCCCCGCGGGGGGCACCGGUCGUCCCUUCCCUUCUGUCGGCGAUGCGUGCCUGGCCUUAACUGGCCGGGCCGUGCCUCCGGCGCUGUUACUUUGAAAAAUUUAGAGUGUUCAAAGUAAGCCCACGCUUCUGGAUACAUUAGCAUGGGAUAACAUCACAGGAUUUCGGUCCUAUUGUGUUUGGCCUUCGGGAUUCGGAGUAAUGGUUAAGAGGGACAGUCGGGGGCAUUCGUAUUUCAUAGUCAAAGGUGAAAUUCCUUGGAUUUAUGAAAGACGAACCACUGCGAAAGCAUUUGCCAAGGAUGUUUUCAUUAACCAAAAACGAAAGUUGGGGGUUCGAAAACAAUCAAAUACCGUCUUAUCCUCAACCUUAAACGAUGCCAACAAGGGAUCGGCGGAUGUUGUUCUUAGGAUUCCGCCGGCCCCUUAUGAAAAAUCAAAGCCUUUGGGUUCCGGGGGGGAGUAUGGUCGCAAGGGUGAAACUUAAAGAGAAUUGACGGAAGG
RNAcentral lists this ribosomal RNA (597 nucleotides) under uncultured organism. RNAcentral describes it as "partial 16S ribosomal RNA". It matches the Rfam family "Eukaryotic small subunit ribosomal RNA", at positions 570 to 1163 of the family's 1831-position model. The record is from RNAcentral.